CUGGAUUUGUUUCAUAGUAAGCAGGUCAAAGAAUCAUUUUUCCACUUGAGAAAGGUGGCAUGAAGGCACUUGGUGAACAUUUAUAUAUAUAAGAUCUACAAGUAAAAUUCUGAUUAAACUAUUUUCUAUAUAGGAUCAGCUGUAACUAGACUCUGUAGAAGGUGUGAACAUUCUGGAAUAACACUGUUCACAUUUAUAAAAGCUUCAGAGAUAAUGAGCCUUGCUGGCCACCUGACAGCUUACCACCAGCGUAUUAGCAUCAGCUGUGAGGAACCCAGCACUGACAGAGGAAUGAAGGCUCACCUCCAAAGCCAGUUGGUGGGAAUGAGCAAGUGCUGGAGAAUGCUGGUGGCUCCUUUCUUCCCUCUACCAUUUAGAAGAAAAGCAUGGAAAUUUGUUCUCUCCACUACUGGCUUAUAAAGUCCUUGGGGAUCUUCUUCUUCUUCYUUUUUWUUUUAUUUUAUUUUUUAUUUUUUUCCCCGAAGAGUUUGCACAUCUCUAAUCAAG
This 507-nucleotide long non-coding RNA is filed under the name Dromaius novaehollandiae (emu). RNAcentral describes it as "lncRNA (ENSDNVG00000007929.1)". Lineage: Eukaryota; Metazoa; Chordata; Aves; Casuariiformes; Dromaiidae. The record is from RNAcentral.